CCUACGGGAGGCUGCAGUGAGGAAUAUUGGUCAAUGGCCGGAAGGCUGAACCAGCCAAGUAGCGUGAAGGAUGACUGUCCUAUGGGUUGUAAACUUCUUUUAUAAAGGAAUAAAACGAGGCACGUGUGCCUUUUUGCAUGUACUUUAUGAAUAAGGAUCGGCUAACUCCGUGCCAGCAGCCGCGGUAAUACGGAGGAUCCGAGCGUUAUCCGGAUUUAUUGGGGUUAAAGGGGGCGUAGAUGGGUUGUUAAGUCAGUUGUGAAAGUUUGCGGCUCAACCGUAGAAUUGCCAUUGAUACUGGCAGUCUUGAGUACAGUUGAGGUAGGCGGAAUGCGUGGUGUAGCGGUGAAAUGCUUAGAUAUCGCGCAGAACCCCGAUUGCGAAGGCAGCUUACUAACCUGUGACUGACAUUGAUGCUCGAAAGUGUGGGUAUCGAACAGGAUUAGAUACCCUUGUAGUC
Molecule: ribosomal RNA, 460 nt
Filed under: uncultured bacterium
Lineage: Bacteria
Description: partial 16S ribosomal RNA
Rfam family: Bacterial small subunit ribosomal RNA
Source: RNAcentral